AGAUUUACAGAAUCAAUCAAUGGGUGUAGGACAACAUUUCAGAUGAGAUCACUUGAGUUGUCAUGGUGUGAUCUGGCAACACACUCUUACAGUGAAGUUCAACCCAAGUUGGAGAGAGAAAUCAUCUUCUGACUGGGCAGAGUGCUGGUAUCUGGAAUGACCAUCAAAUUCUCUGAUGCUCUUCCUGUGUCUAUCAGAAUGGGGCACUUCUGCCGUCUCCAAUCUGUGACCUGGCUCAGUUUGACUCUCUCCAUUGGUAUUAUUCCCUGUUCCCACUGAGCUGCAUGGUUUCCUGUUCCCACAGUAACUGAAACACUCUCACACAAAAAGCCAGCAGUGCAUUCCAUGCACCCACCACUCUUUUUUUAAAAAAAUAGUUACUCCUGACAUCCCCUCGGUAUCAAUUUUCAAGCACUUUAAAACUCUGCUCUCUUGUGUUAGCCAUUUCAGCCCUGGGAAAAUAACCUCUGGCUAUGCACACGAUCAAUGCCCCUCAUCAUCUUAUACACCUAAAAAAGCUCUUAACCAAAAAAAAGGAUAUUUUACACAUUAUACGUGAUCGAGUUCAUCUGCACUCUCACACAACCUAUGUAGCAGGCCUGUAACGGGUAAUGAAGGAUUUUCUCACCAGAGCUUUUGUACAUUGUCCAUAUGUGGUUUGCUUGCUAAACUAUGCUUUAAAAAGUCAGAUUUGCAAACAUCACUCCACUUCUUCCCACUUGCAAAUUCUCCAGCAACUUUUGCAUCGCCACAAUACACCAGUUUCUAUAUUGGACAUAAAUAUUUCCCCUGAACCCUCCUGAGGAAUUGAGGAUAUAUAAACAAAAUCAUUUUGAACCUAUGAAACCUCUGGCCAGAAGAAUAAUUGGGACUGAAUAGGAAUUUUGAACUGAUGUGAACUCAGUUUUCAGCAUUUAGCUAAGACAGGCUCAUUACCAGUUCUCUGAGGCUUGCAGAGAGACACACUGAGAGCUGAUAACAUUAUACAUUGUACUCAUGUUUGAGUAAGUGGAGGAAGACUCCCUGAUAAGGACAGGAAUGAACUUGUUUGUUAUUAAAUCAGGGCCUUGCAAAGGGAAUAACUGACAAGGACGAGACUGUACAUCCAUCUGUAAUUAAAACCUUGAUUUAGUAAACUCUCAAUUCUAAGUAAUUAAGUUUUGCACCAGUUCGAACAACAUAUUGCAAUAGUAAUGUAUGGGCUUACUAUGUACUAUGUACAGGCUGUAACCUAAGUCAGUCCAUUUGUAAACAGUGGCAGUGCUUACGUGCCUACCCUUUGACAACUGGGUCUCAAUCUCCUGCAGAAGAAUGCACAACAAACUGUGGUGAUGAUAAGAAACUGGACUCCCGAGUUUUAAUUGGACUCAACUUUUAACAUUUGUCAUCACGAACAGGAUCCCAAUACAGGGAGUGCCAAGCAGACGGGCUGAGUAAGCGGCUGGACCACUCUGGGGACUGCAGAGACUGACCAGGUGCCCAAUAGGAAACUGGCAUGGAGUCAAUGGAAAUAAGGCAAACAAGUAUUGAGGUCAUGGAACCUAUACAGAUAGAAGAGGAGGAGGUGCUUGCUAUCUUGAGGUGCGUAAUGUCUAAAGGACCAGUGUUUGAGUAAGCGAGACUCACCAAACUUUCUCCUGAUUGAAUCACUGGAAUCUCCGAGUCAGAUUGGUUUCUCUCCAAUCAGUGCUCUCAAUCCUUGGGCUGGUUCACUUGUUGCUGUUCCCUCAACUUCAGUCGUGGUUCUUCUGCCAAUAAAUCUCUCACCGCAGGACUAACUUUAACAUGAAAGAUAAUGAAGCACAUUAACAAUACAAAGAAGGACCAAACGUUUCUACUUAAUGUACAAGGAGCAACACUCACUGAAAUUUAAACGUUGAGGGCAAAUAUACUGAUCUCAGUUGUCCCUCACAUGUCACAGAACGAUAUGGGAUAAGGAGGAGGCAUCAUUCAGUCAUGGUAAGACAUACAACACAGGAACAGAAACAGGUGAUUCAAUCCAUCUGAUCUGCCCACCACUCAACCAUGGCUGAUUUUCAUUCCAACACCAUAUUCCUGUCUUCCUCCUGUAACCCUGAAUCUACUUAGCAAUCAUGAGUAUAUUAAUCUCUGUCAUAAAUAUUCCCAAAUGGCAGCCUCAAUCAGACUCUGUGGCAACAAAUUCCAUAGAUCAGACAUCUUUUGGCAAAAAAAAAAAUUCACAACUGAAUUUUAACAGGAAGCAUCUUUAUUCUGAGACAGUGCUGUCAGAUCACAGACUCUGUGUCUAAUGGAAACAUCCUCUCCAUGUCCACAGUAUCCAGGCUUUUCAGCAUUCGGUAGGUUUAUUAACCAUACAUCCCUCCACCGUCCCUCUGAACUCCAUUGAGCACAGGUUCAGACCUAUCAAAUGCUCCACCGAUCAUUCCUGAGAUUACUUAUGUAAACCUUGUUAGCAACAACUGUACUGAACACAUUUCCAGGAAUAACAGACAAAUUGGUACCAGGAUAAUUUAAAGGGAAACGUUGUGCUUUCUUUACAGUUUUACUAUCACAUGUGCUGGCGCGUGGCCAAGUGGUUAAUGCGUUGGUCUAGUGAUCUGAAGGUUGCUAGUUCCAGCCUUGGCAGAGGCUGCGUGUGUGUUCUUGAGCGACGACACCGGUGCCAAGCUGUAUGGGUCCUAAUGCCCUUCCCUUGGACAAUAUCACUGGCGGAGGGGAGACCUGCAGAGACUCUAACGGAGGCCUAUAAAGUAUCACAGCCAUUUUCAUUUCCAGGUUAAAACAGGUCCAUUUCAUGAAAUAUAAACAAGAAAUAAAAAGAAACUGGAAUUACCAGAAACACUCAGCAGGUAAGGAACAGCUUACAAUACAAUUCAAUUAAUAACAUUUCAUCAGAAUGACUUCAAACAUUUUCAGUUUUUAGUGCAGAUCUCCAGCACAGCUGCCUGAGUUCCACUGAGUAACAGUGAGGGGGGAUUUCCAAACUCAGGGUCUAUUUCUACUGUUGUAAACACAGAACAGCCCAUUUACUCACAGCCUCUCCCUGUGAGGAUGGAAUGGGAACUCAUCCUCUCCUCAGAUUGUCAGUCAUUGCUUCCAAAGGAACUCCAGAAACAAACAUCUGAUCCCAGACCAGAAAUACUCACUCAACACUUCCCAAUCCCAAACCGCUCGUUCCCCGGGUCCAUUUUACCUGGAUCGAAAACUAUGAUAUUCCAGGACCAAACUCACAGAGUCACACAGCUGAAUCUGCCACUCACCGACACUAAGAGUCUCACACAUUGUCCCCACAUCUCACACUGGGUAGUGCAAUCCGGGAUUUCCCCACAACCAAUGUCCAGCUGCUCAAAAUUUCUGCUUCAUUGCAGGACGAUCAUCCAGCCCCAUCUGCAGAAGCUCAAAACAAAGUCAAGCCAAAACACCAACAGUUCCAUUUGCCUGGAAAGCCGAUCACAGGAUUAGAGCCCAAGCACCAACUCUCCCAGUACUCUUUGCUGCCAGUAAAAUGCUGCACUGUGCCAGUCCAUCACUGAUCAUAAACUAGCACCUCCACACCAAUGCACAACAGAACUGGGACCUGAUGACCCUCCUGCAUUCCAGCUAACAAUAACCGAUACUGGAAAUGACUCAGCGAGGCCAAAGGUACAAAAGAACACUUCACAAUGAAGACAAGGGUUAGAAAAAGUUUGCUGAUAUAUAACAUUGAGGAGGUGGGAUACAAGGCGGACUGAGGAUGACCCAGAUGGUUAAUGUAUAUCACUGAAGCGGGGUUGCAGGGUGUGAGGAGACUGAACAGAGGUUGAACAAGAUGAACAGAUGGAACCAGGUGGGAGAAGGGAUCAAGGACAAUCACUGAUUGUCCUCCAGCAACACAUAGGUACUGAAUGAAUAGUACAUACUAUUGUACAAAAGAUUCUAAAAUGACAGAAUUGGCAAAAAUAACAAGAACUUUGCCAGAUAUACUUUGACCCUCACCAGAUUUUUAUCAACACACCAUAGAAAGUUUCCCAUCCAGACACUUCACGUUUUGCACAGUAACUGCUCCAUCUGUGACUGCGAGGAAAUGCAGAGACCUUUGGAUACAGAGCAGCACAUCACAGACACCAUCCUCCCCCCGAGACUUCCCAGUCCCUCGGUAAAGCAGGCAGUGAAAUCAAAGAUCCCCACAACCUGGGACGUUCUCCUUUAUCACCCACCCCAGUCUGGGAGAAGACCCAACAGCCAUAAAGCUCCAGGACAAAUGUGAGGAGCCUCAGGAAGCGAGGCGAUUUCAGGGAAGUUAAUGGGACUCAGUGGCCAACAUCAGAUUUCCCCAACACAACAUGGAGGAUGCGUGACCACCCACCUGGAGAUUGUGAACAUGCACAAAGAGAUCGUAACAUCUAUGGUUAAAUGGGAGGGGCAAAUGGGAUCACGUGACCAGUGGGGUCUAGCACCCCAGGCAUAGACUCCAGCUUCCCAGCAUUCUGUGAAAAUAAACAGACGCCCCUCACAUCUCCUCUCACCUUAAAUGUGUCAGACAUUUCUAACCCCCAGGAAAAAACAUACCCUCUGUCCACUCUAUCUAUUCCUCUCGUAAUCUUAUAAACGUCCAUCCAGUCUCACCGCAGCCUGCACCGCUUUGGAGAAAACAACACAAGUUUGUCCAGCCUCUCGUUAUAGCUCAUGCCCUCUAAUCCAGGGAGUAUCCUGGUAACCCUCUUCUGUGCCCUCUCCAAAGCCCCGACAUCCUUCCGAGAAUGGGGGUGACCAGAACUGUAUGAAACACUCCAGUUGUGGUCUAACAAGUUUUACAAAGCUGCAACACAACUUCCCGACUUUUGAACUCAAUGCUUCAUCUAAUAAAGACAACCAUGUCAUUUGCCUUCUUAACCGCCCGAUCAAUCUAUGCAGUCUCUUUCAGGGAGUGAUGAACUUGGAGUCUAAGAUCCCUCUGAUCAUCGACAUUGUUCGGGGUUUUGCAUUUAACAGUGAACUGUCUCAUUCAUUCAGGGGUGCAGUGCUACCAGAGCUCACCGGAGCGCCGCUCCGACACCUCUGGAAAAAAGUCAAAAUAAGCAAGUACGGAAUUUAACAACCCCGGAUAUUAAAUAGAGGGAAUUUUACGGAAGCGGGGGUUGGAAAAUGUUGGCUGGUGGGGAAAAAUACCACUGAUAACAUUAAGAUAUUUGAUCGUUUUUUGUGAAAUCCUGGAGCUGUGACUGCUUUUUAUUUAGGUAUUUGUGAAAUUCCUUCUCCCUCGACCCAUUGUCCUAGGAAGCUGGGAAAUAGCUGGACACGAGUCUGAGCAUUCUUCCGCUCUUUCCAAUGGGUACCAUUGGAUACCAUGAAGGAGCUAUAUUCAGCAAGGAAUGAACAUGGAAACCCAAGUUUAAAAGUUGAAAACAAUGAAAGAAAAAUUCACUGCUUGCUUAUCUUCGGUCUGACUUUGAUCAAAUACACAAGCUAAUCAUCCAAAAUCCUCUUCUACACCUGGAUAAAUUUAGUUUUGUUUUCCAAGCCAAAUGGGAAAAAAAAGACAUUUCUAGGCUUUAAGCUAGUUUUACAUCAUUUCAACUAUUAUAUCAUUAAUAGCAGAUCAACCCCUUGGCCUCGCUCCACCAACUGCAGCUGAUUGGAAAGAGGCUCUUUUUCUCAUUGUGAUGAAAGGAAGAAGAAUAAUUUAGUGAGAUCUGCAGCAUCUGCGGGUCACUGCUCUACGUGUACGUGUAGCUUCAUCUUACACCCGUUCAGACAAGGCAGUGAGAUCCGGAUCUGUCACGUCCUCUCGUUGUUUGUGGACAAUGUUUUUUUUCUCUGCAAUAUUUUCUGUUAUUUCAUUCCACUGUUUUGAGGUGCUGAAGGGCUGCUGAUCUUUCUGGGUGUCUGACCCGUUUAUGUGAAAAUUUGGCCAUUUGUAUUUAUCUGAGCUUCUCACAAAUGUGUAAAGUUUAGUUCAGCUUCAUUUCAGAAUUUCUAAAGCAACACCCAGUCAGUCAAAUUGCUCCACACAAUUAAGAUAGCUUAUUACAUUUUUUUUCUAUUUUUGUACUAUAUAUAUGUAUAUUCUUAUUUUAAAUCACAAUUGUUAAAAACUAUUGUUAUGAAUUAGUUUCUACUACUACCACAGCGACAACAAAUUUCAUGUCAUAUGCCGGUGCUAUUAAACCUGAUUCUGAUAUUGAUAUGGGAGACCCACCACCGGUCACCUGUUCCCAGUUACUGCAGAUCGUAAUGUGAGAUUGAAGCAUUUUCCAUAUAUUUGCUUUCCACAGAAAUGACAACAGUUCAGUUUCCUUCUGAGGUUCUAGAGCAGAAGCUCAGUCUGUCUAAUAUUUCCACCCAAUUAAAAUGGGAAAUUUGUUUAUUAUCAUCAUGUACUGAGCUACAGUGAAAAUCUUGCCUGAUGUACCAUCCACACAGAUGGAUACAUUCCAACAGUACAUUGAGCUGACAUACAACAAAAUAAUCACUGCAGCAAAGCAUUGUGGCUGCAGAGAAAAUGCAGUGCAGAUAGACAUAUGGUGCAGGGUCACGUCGAGUUACAUUUUGAGGUUGAGUCCAUUUUAUCAUUCAUUUGACUUAUAGCUGCAGACGGGAAGCGGUCCUUCAGCCUGGUGUUACGCACUUUAAGGCUUUUGUAUCUCUCCCCCGAUGGGAGAGCGGGUUUUGCAGCAAGAAUGUCCAGGUUGUGAGGAUCUUUGAGUAAAUGGCCUGCUUUUCCGAGGGAGGGGAAGUGUAGGAAGAGUCCAUGGAGUGACGGCUUGUUUCUCUGAUGUUCUCUGCAGUUCCUUGCAGUCAAGGGCAGAGCAGUAGCCAUACAAAGGCGUGAAGUAUC
Molecule: long non-coding RNA, 6799 nt
Organism: Hypanus sabinus (Atlantic stingray)
Lineage: Eukaryota; Metazoa; Chordata; Chondrichthyes; Myliobatiformes; Dasyatidae
Exons: 4
Source: RefSeq, a predicted model, not a curated record